This 452-nucleotide ribosomal RNA is filed under the name uncultured bacterium. RNAcentral describes it as "bacterial SSU rRNA". It matches the Rfam family "Bacterial small subunit ribosomal RNA", at positions 340 to 786 of the family's 1533-position model. The record is from RNAcentral.
UACGGGAGGCAGCAGUGGGGAAUAUUGCACAAUGGGCGCAAGCCUGAUGCAGCCAUGCCGCGUGUAUGAAAAAGGCCUUCGGGUUGUAAAGUACUUUCAGUCGUGAGGAAGGUGUUAAGGUUAAUAACCUUAGCAAUUGACGUUAGCGACAGAAGAAGCACCGGCUAACUCCGUGCCAGCAGCCGCGGUAAUACGGAGGGUGCGAGCGUUAAUCGGAAUUACUGGGCUAAAGGGCACGCAGGCGGUUAAUUAAGUUGGAUGUGAAAUCCCCGGGCUUAACCUGGGAAUGGCAUUCAAGACUGGUUAGCUAGAGUCUUGUAGAGGGGGUAGAAUUCCAUGUGUAGCGGUGAAAUGCGUAGAGAUGUGGAGGAAUACCGGUGGCGAAGGCGGCCCCUGGACAAAGACUGACGCUCAUGUGCGAAAGCGUGGGGAGCAAACAGGGAUUAGAUACC